CGGCGUAAGCUGUCGCUAUGGGGAUGGGCCCCGCGGUGCAUUAGCUAGUUGGUAAAGGGGUAAAAAGGGGCUUACCAAGGCGAUGAUGCAUAGCCGAGUUGAGAGACUGAUCGGCCACAUUGGGACUGAGACACGGCCCAAACUCCUACGGGAGGCAGCAGUAGGGAAUCUUCCACAAUGGACGCAAGUCUGAUGGAGCAACGCCGCGUGAGUGAAGAAGGUUUUCGGAUCGUAAAGCUCUGUUGUUGGUGAAGAAGGAUAGAGGUAGUAACUGGCCUUUAUUUGACGGUAAUCAACCAGAAAGUCACGGGCUAACUACGUGCCAGCAGCCGCGGGUAAAU
This 341-nucleotide ribosomal RNA is filed under the name uncultured Lactobacillus sp. RNAcentral describes it as "bacterial SSU rRNA". It matches the Rfam family "Bacterial small subunit ribosomal RNA", at positions 198 to 526 of the family's 1533-position model. Lineage: Bacteria; Bacillati; Bacillota; Bacilli; Lactobacillales; Lactobacillaceae. The record is from RNAcentral.